AUUGAACGCUGGCGGCAUGCCUUGCACAUGCAAGUCGAACGGUAACAGGUCUUCGGAUGCUGACGAGUGGCGCACGGGUGAGUAAUACAUCGGAACGUGCCCAGACGUGGGGGAUAACGAGGCGAAAGCUUUGCUAAUACCGCAUACGAUCUAAGGAUGAAAGCAGGGGACCGCAAGGCCUUGCGCGUUUGGAGCGGCCGAUGGCAGAUUAGGUAGUUGGUGGGAUAAAAGCUUACCAAGCCGACGAUCUGUAGCUGGUCUGAGAGGACGACCAGCCACACUGGGACUGAGACACGGCCCAGACUCCUACGGGAGGCAGCAGUGGGGAAUUUUGGACAAUGGGCGAAAGCCUGAUCCAGCAAUGCCGCGUGCAGGAUGAAGGCCUUCGGGUUGUAAACUGCUUUUGUACGGAACGAAAAGGCUCUGGCUAAUACCUGGGGCACAUGACGGUACCGUAAGAAUAAGCACCGGCUAACUACGUG
This 482-nucleotide ribosomal RNA is filed under the name uncultured bacterium. Its description in RNAcentral is "partial 16S ribosomal RNA". It matches the Rfam family "Bacterial small subunit ribosomal RNA", at positions 30 to 507 of the family's 1533-position model. The record is from RNAcentral.